CCUACGGGAGGCAGCAGUGGGGAAUAUUGGGCAAUGGGCGCAAGCCUGACCCAGCAACGCCGCGUGAAGGAAGAAGGCUUUCGGGUUGUAAACUUCUUUUCUCAGGGACGAAGCAAGUGACGGUACUUGAGGAAUAAGCGACGGCUAACUACGUGCCAGCAGCCGCGGUAAUACGUAGGUGGCAAGCGUUAUCCGGAUUUACUGGGUGUAAGGGGCGUGUAGGCGGGACUGGAAGUCAGAUGUGAAAACUACGGGCUCAACCUGUGGCCUGCAUUUGAAACUGUAGUUCUUGAGUACUGGAGAGGCAGACGGAAUUCCUGGUGUAGCGGUGAAAUGCGUAGAUAUUAGGAAGAACACCAGUGGCGAAGGCAGUCUGCUGGACAGCAACUGACGCUGAGGCGCGAAAGCGUGGGGAGCGAACAGGAUUAGAUACCCGAGUAGUC
Molecule: ribosomal RNA, 443 nt
Filed under: uncultured bacterium
Lineage: Bacteria
Description: partial 16S ribosomal RNA
Rfam family: Bacterial small subunit ribosomal RNA
Source: RNAcentral